AUCUCUGCGGCGCAAUAGGUCAGUGCAUCUGGCUGUUGACCAGAAGGUUGGCAGUUCAGGCCCCCCCCCAGGGACA
Molecule: non-coding RNA, 76 nt
Organism: Podarcis lilfordi (Lilford's wall lizard)
Lineage: Eukaryota; Metazoa; Chordata; Lepidosauria; Squamata; Lacertidae
Source: the annotation of a GenBank genome assembly